AGGAUCCUAGAUGCCAUAUACUAAAACUAAAAUGCUACAGGGAAAAUUAGCAUGGCUUCUGCACAAGGGUGACUUGCAAAUAAAUGAGACAUUCCUGAUUUCU
Dipodomys ordii (Ord's kangaroo rat) is the source of this 103-nucleotide non-coding RNA. The record is from Rfam. NCBI's taxonomy places the organism in Eukaryota, Metazoa, Chordata, Mammalia, Rodentia, Heteromyidae.